GUGGCUAUUGGGUUCGCAAACAAGCAAAUAGUCCAGGCUGCUCAGGUUACUUCAGAGGAAAAAUGAAGAUCAAGAAGAUACAGAUGGAAGCAGAAGGAAGCCAGCCUUCUGCCUUGGUGGGAAAAGGAAGAAAGAAAUUGUCAUGCAGAAGUCAGAAGUCUUCUGGGAAGGAGUCAACCCCAACCCUCCACCAUCACUGAGUAGGAAGAGAACACGAACAGUUUGGAGAACCUGUUAAUUGAUCUCCAGAUGAUCUUGAGAGGGAUGAACUUUGUGGAAUCCUGACCCAUUACACCAAAAAGGAUUUGAACCACAGGCCUAGAAUGCUCCAGCAGAAGAUCAGACAGGGCACAGACUAGGAUACGUGCUCUCUCAGACAGAAGUGCUGCAUCAGGAGCACUGAGUGUGCAAAGCAAAUGAACUACCAUUGCAUCUCAUCCCUCUAACCAUAGCAAUUUUGGGCUGCAUUUUCUUCCUUUGGUUUGGUUUACUAUUUGUGAAUAGGCCUUGGUUUUGCCGAGCCUCUGACCCAGAAAUAGUGCUUCUGGGUCUGAUUGCCUUUUCUUCUCUGACAGCACCCUUUCGAGAACUGUGGAGGGGCAAAGAAUGCCACCGACAACUUGAACACAGCAUUCUCUGCGCUAGGAUCAAAGCCUCCUCAGAAAAAGAUACCUCCUUUUUUUAUUGGA
Mastomys coucha (southern multimammate mouse) is the source of this 689-nucleotide long non-coding RNA. RefSeq lists it as uncharacterized. The transcript is spliced from 3 exons. The record is from RefSeq and is a predicted model, not a curated record. NCBI's taxonomy places the organism in Eukaryota, Metazoa, Chordata, Mammalia, Rodentia, Muridae.